AACGAACGUUAGCGGCGCGCCUAACACAUGCAAGUCGAACGAGAAGGGGAUUCGUCCCUGGUAAAGUGGCGCACGGGUGAGUAACACGUAGGUAAUCUGCCUUUGAGUGGUGGAUAACCCUCCGAAAGGAGGGCUAAUACAGCAUGAGACCACGGCUUCGAAAGGAGCUGAGGCAAAAGCGGGCCUCUUCACGAAAGCCCGCGCUCGAAGAUGAGCCUGCGGCCCAUCAGCAGUUGGCGAGGUAAUGGCUCACCAAGGCUAAGACGGGUAGCUGGUCUGAGAGGAUGAACA
RNAcentral lists this ribosomal RNA (291 nucleotides) under uncultured bacterium. Its description in RNAcentral is "partial 16S ribosomal RNA". It matches the Rfam family "Bacterial small subunit ribosomal RNA", at positions 29 to 306 of the family's 1533-position model. The record is from RNAcentral.